This is a long non-coding RNA of Scleropages formosus (Asian bonytongue), 2728 nucleotides long. The record is from Ensembl. NCBI's taxonomy places the organism in Eukaryota, Metazoa, Chordata, Actinopteri, Osteoglossiformes, Osteoglossidae.
GUAAAGGAAAAGACACACGCAAACUUGGCUCUUCAGGAGGCGAUCAUAGAACAUUUCUCACUCAAACCGCUGUCUUUUUCUAAUUUGUACGGUAAGAAGAUCUUUUGAACUCUACAAAGCAUUUUAAAGCGAUAAAGCUGACGAGUCCCUGACAAAAAAAAAAGAACUUUUGCUUCCGGUCGCAGUGAAGAGCGAGUGUGAUUUUCAGUCUAUAUACAUAAAUGAUUUAAAAUCUAGCACAUACUCUGGUUCACUUUUAAUAUUACUUUAGUGAUGCAUCCGAGGUUCCCUGUAUUCGGUAUUCUUUGCAAAAUGCCUCUCAAAUAACUGCCGCUGCUGAUUUUUCAGGUGAAUUUCAAGUCAAUCAAAAAAUGAGUAAAAAGGACGUAACAGUUGAUGACACAACUAAAAAAAAAUUCAUUAACAGUCGUUGGUCAUCCAUCACUGAAAGGGUGCCAUUGGUGAAUCCUAUCCUAGACCGCUUACUCGAAGAAAAGAUUAUCUCUGUCGAGGCAUAUGACAAGAUUCGAAAAGAGAAGUCUGAACCAGAAAAAAUGAGGGCGAUACAUCGCUUCUUGCAUAGUGGCGGCUGUGUUGCAUAUUCUAAAUUUUUCCAGAUCCUACAGGAAUGCCAACCACAACUUUUUGAUGAACUGUGUAAAGUAAACUUUUAAUGCUCUGCAUUGUAGUAUUUACACAUUAUUGUAUGUCCAUUAUUUCUCUUAUUGAAGUAUUAUUAAAGUAAAAGCAUUCAUUUUCUAAAAUGUUUGUUGUAGCAAUGUAAAUCGAUAGGUACUUAAAAUCAGUAAACAAAACAAGAGCUUAUUCAAGGUGGUAACAUUUUUAUUAAUUGACUCAUAUUAAUAAACUCGGGACUGUUUAGGGGGAAACUGGACAAAAAGAAAACUGGAGGACAAUAAAGAAAACGGAAAGAAAAGAAGACGAAUGCCAGGAGAUGAAACAGAUUCACAGACAAAGUCAAUGAAUCAAGAACCAGCAGAUGGCAGUCAUCCUGAAGAAGACUCAGCACGUUUUUACGCCAUUGAAAAAAUGGAGAUGUAUCUUGAUAAUCCAGAGAACCGCCGAAGAAUAGUAAAUGAACUAAAACUAGAAUUAAAGGAGGGGGAAGUUAAAAAACUGGAAGAUUUCCUCAGUGGCAUGAAAGUGAAAAAAGUCUUUCGUUUCAGCCAUGAUGCUGUCAAGAAAAUAAUAUCCUGUAGAGAGAUAAAGACAUUUCUGAAACCAGGAAAUGAAAAGACUCUUUCCGAUAAAGUCAUUAAACAUUUCUUUGAAAAAGUUCGUGGUGCUCCAGCAGCAGCUCAGCACCAGAACAGAGCAGACCGUACGGGAACUAGUGUAGCUUCAGAGAUUAGUAAUGAUAAUAUGUCAGACAAUGAAUCUUCUGUAAUAGAUGAACCCCUACCCCUUCACACUAGUUCACCCACUUUUACUGCUAAACUUUCAGUGGCAGAAGAAAAUAAAAGAGGAAGCACAUCACUCAGCAUGCUUUCUCUCUCUCCAUCUAAAUCUUGCAGCCAAACAACAUCACCUCUUAAUGGUGGUCAUUGUGCUGUCACUACCACUAAUGAGAGUUUGCCUGUUGCCAGCAGUGACUACCCUGGAAAUCAUCAAAAUGUUUUCAGUGACUCAGGUUUUACCUCACUAUCUGAGAACCAGAACACAAAACAACCUUCGAAAACAUAUUUAAAACUAGAAUCCAUUCCUCUUCCUUUAGCAGAGACACCUAUCGAAGAUAAACUUUUUGCUCAGGAUGCCGAGACUCCAUCUCAAAACAAUGUGAAGGAGUCGGAUGUUAAUAUGGACAGUCCUGACAAAGCUGUAUUUGCAGAAACAGAUCAUAUAGAUGUAAACAAGGAGAAGAAGAUGAAAAGACAAAGGGGGCAAGUAUCGAAAAAGACAAAGGAGAAAUUGCAAAAGAAAACGUUGCUUGUCAAUUGGGCGAGACAAUGCAUACCUGCCGAUAAACAAGGAACCAGCCUAGAGAAAGAAGAACUUGAAAAAAUAAGAGAUGGAAUCAGUAUUGUGAACAUCAGAGAGUACGAACAAUACCCCUGCCUUGUGUGUGAGUGCUGUAUGGUCUUUACUGACCCCCAUACUAAUAAGAAAAGUAUCAUUGAGGUUCUGUUAAAGGAGGUUAAUGGCAAAAGUAAGAAGUUAAAUUCACAGGAUGAAUUUAAGUUGCAGUUUAACAUGGGCGUGCUAAACAUUGAUGAAACCAUUUUGCUUCUACCAGACAAAACUGUGGUUGAGGCUUAUAAUGACACAUUUGAUUACAAUGUAAAACAAUUUCAAAAGAUUAUUGAUAAAGUUUUCAUUCCUCUUCUAGCUUUAUUUAAAGAACUUCAAAGAAAAAUUCAGUUAUUUUGAGCCCAUUUAGGAUUCUGAACAUUAACAGGGAAGUGCUGAAACUCUUCCAUGGCAAAACUUGGCCAUAUAACCUAAAGGUAUUUUAAUCACUCUGAAUGUUAUUUUGUCAUCUUUGGUCAGCCUCCUUGUUACAAGUUUCAUUUGAAGUGAUGUUUUAUUAAUAGUUUUUUUUUUGGGGGGGGGGAUUUGUAUGCAGGGAAGUCUUGCUGUAAGUUGGCAUUCAAACAUGACUUAUUUUGCGUAGCGUCCAACAGGGGGCGCCAGAAGUAAGUUUUUCUGGUGAAAUUGUGAUGAAGAUACACCAUGUGCCAUCGAACAUCUCUGUAACACACUGCUUUAU